UACGUAGGGGGCAAGCGUUGUCCGGAUUCAUUGGGCGUAAAGCGCGUGUAGGCGGUUCGGCAGGUCCGAUGUGAAAACUCGAUGGCUCAACCUCGAGACGUCAUUGGAAACCUCCGGGCUAGAGUCCGGGAGAGGAGAGUGGAAUUCCUGGUGUAGCGGUGAAAUGCGCAGAUAUCAGGAAGAACACCAAUGGCGAAGGCAGCUCUCUGGAACGGUACUGACGCUGAGACGCGAAAGCGUGGGGAGCGAACAGG
RNAcentral lists this ribosomal RNA (254 nucleotides) under uncultured bacterium. Its description in RNAcentral is "partial 16S ribosomal RNA". It matches the Rfam family "Bacterial small subunit ribosomal RNA", at positions 524 to 776 of the family's 1533-position model. The record is from RNAcentral.